UUAAGUUCAGCGGGUAUUCCUACCUGAUCCGAGGUCAACCUUCAGAAAUAAGGGGGUUUAGACGGCGUGGCCAGGCCGCGUCCCAGUGCGAGGUGUGCUACUACGCAGAGGAGGCUACAGCGAGACCGCCACUAGAUUUCGGAGCCGGCGCGCCCAGGGCAGGGCGGCCGAUCUCCAACACCAGGCCCGGGGGCUUGAGG
This 200-nucleotide unclassified non-coding RNA is filed under the name Nectriaceae sp. Its description in RNAcentral is "partial internal transcribed spacer 2". Lineage: Eukaryota; Fungi; Ascomycota; Sordariomycetes; Hypocreales; Nectriaceae. The record is from RNAcentral.